Molecule: ribosomal RNA, 440 nt
Filed under: uncultured bacterium
Lineage: Bacteria
Description: partial 16S ribosomal RNA
Rfam family: Bacterial small subunit ribosomal RNA
Source: RNAcentral
CCUACGGGAGGCAGCAGUGGGGAAUAUUGCACAAUGGGGGAAACCCUGAUGCAGCGACGCCGCGUGAGUGAAGAAGUAAUUCGUUAUGUAAAGCUCUAUCAGCAGGGAAGAAAAUGACGGUACCUGAGUAAGAAGCCCCGGCUAACUACGUGCCAGCAGCCGCGGUAAUACGUAGGGGGCAAGCGUUAUCCGGAUUUACUGGGUGUAAAGGGAGCGUAGACGGCAGUGCAAGUCUGGAGUGAAAGGCGGGGGGUCAACCCCCGGACUGCUCUGGAAACUGUACGGCUGGAGUGCAGGAGAGGUAAGUGGAAUUCCUAGGGUAGCGGUGAAAUGCGUAGAUAUUAGGAGGAACACCAGUGGCGAAGGCGGCUUACUGGACUGUAACUGACGUUGAGGCUCGAAAGCGUGGGGAGCAAACAGGAUUAGAUACCCCUGUAGUC